ACGGAUAUCUCGGCUCUCGCAUCGAUGAAGAACGUAGCGAAAUGCGAUACCUGGUGUGAAUUGCAGAAUCCCGCGAACCAUCGAGUCUUUGAACGCAAGUUGCGCCCGAGGCCUCUUGGCCGAGGGCACGCCUGCCUGGGCGUCACGCCAAACACGCUCUCACCCCACUAACCUGGGGUGGGACGCGGCAUGUGGCUCCUCGUCUCGCAAGGGGCGGUGGGCCGAAGAUCCGGCUGCCGGCGUAUCGUGCCGGACACAGCGCGUGGU
Molecule: ribosomal RNA, 267 nt
Filed under: Lolium mairei
Lineage: Eukaryota; Viridiplantae; Streptophyta; Magnoliopsida; Poales; Poaceae
Description: Festuca mairei 5.8S ribosomal RNA
Rfam family: 5.8S ribosomal RNA (bases 1-145)
About the family: 5.8S ribosomal RNA (5.8S rRNA) is a component of the large subunit of the eukaryotic ribosome.
Source: RNAcentral